UGGCAGCCAGUUGGGCUUCUUCCUGCCUUGAAUACCGCAUUCCCUGGUUAUUCAAGCUCAGUCAUUAGCACCCUGUCCCCCCACUGAAAUUAUGAAUGAAAAGCCUUGUUGUUCUUUACAAAUAACUCGGGCUUCCUCAGUCAGUCAAAUUCAAAUGGCAGUGACUGCCAGACAAAGCGCCUGUAUGAUGGACAGUCCUCUCAGCAAGCCAUCAAGGCACACAGGAAGUUUUUAAAGGCACAAUCUAGGAACUCUGUGUCCUGGAGUUCAAAAAGAUGUCGUGGACUUAGCCCAUUGAUUUAUUUAGGGAACGAAAACCCUGAACCUGAGAAUUAAUGAUGUGUCUCAUUGUAGGUUUUUCUCCUAAGGCCUCUGCAACCUCAGGCUCUGUUGCUGCAGCUGGAUCCACACGGGCCAACAUUUGUGUUUGCACCAACCCCCUUUAGGAGCCCACCUGCCUGGAUCUGAUUUCAGCCUUGGAGCUGUCAUUUCCUGCCAUCACAAGAGGUCCAUGAGCUAAGUCUGUGAGUCCUGUCAUAUGAAAAAGUGACAUCAAGAUUGCAGGAGAGCUGACAUCAUGUGCUGAAAGAGGAGUGACAGCAAGGCUGACAGAGAAGCUUAACUGGGCAGUCAAGUGUGAAGAAAGUGCAGUUGGACAGGUGUCUAUAGAUGACAAGAUGAGAGAAAAAAGUACCAAGAACUAAUAACUGUCAGAAGAAGGGAUCCAUUUAAUUUAUUUAUAUAUUUAUUUAUAGUUUUAUUGCUUGCCUUAUUGCCCUGGAGAACCAUGCAUUUUCUCUGGACUGCAGUGAAGAAACUGUUCUUGCUUUUACUUUGCCUUUGCCUCAGUCUUGCAGUCACACUCCCUUAACACUUGUUGUGAAAUCUAGACUCUAUUAAAGUCAAAGGGAGUUUUGCCAUCAAGUUUAGUGUGGCCAGAAUUUUACUCAGUUUGUAAGUCUGGCAGCGUCAGCAAUGUUGGAGUUGCAUAGACCAAGGUUAAAUUUGACAACAGGAAGGGAACUUUUCCCACAUUCCCCCCACUCCUCUUCCCACAAGAAAGGUAUAAGCCACUGUUGAAAGACAGUUAAUCGUCCUUAGUCAGAUCUGUGUAAACAGUGUGAACUUGGAGGAAAAACACCCAUUCUGAAACGUAUAGGCUAAAUACAGCCUGCAAACUCAGUUUGUCCAGCUUGUAACCUACUCCCAGGAGUAGCAGCAAGAGCAGCUUGGGAAUUAAUUACAUAGCAAAUUCAUGGUUUCUGGGAAACAUGGAGCUAGUUUGCAUGCCAGCCCAAUGGAGAACUCCAUGAACACUGUAGUUUGGGCUAUGUGAGUCGUUAAAUGCUGGGGUAGAAGGCUCUCACUGGCUCUUAAAAACAGGUAUUUGCCCAGACAGCCAGAAAAAAUUGGGAACUACUGAUUUAGAUCACAGUAAAAUUUUCUUUUGAGAUUCUUGUCAGUGCUUCCACCAUUCAACCAGGAAGAAGUUGGGCUGCCAAAUGAAUUGAGGUUGAAACCUGUUUCUGAGCAUAUCUCUGGGUUCAGGACAUAAAUGUAACAGAUGAAGUUUUGACUCUUUUGAAGUCUAUAGGAAAACUACCCUUGACUUUGAUGAGGUCUGAAUUUCAUCUUUUUCCCAUCACCUUCUUCUUCCCCCUUCAUUUAAUUCACCUCAUAAAACAAAAACUGAGACCCAUGUGUGUUUUUGUAUAGCUGUCUAGAUUCCUUUGAGCCAUGCACUAGUGUACAGGCUCCAUUUGUAUGUACAAAUGCCAGCUAUACAUAUGCAAUUGUAACUGUGCAUGAGAAGAUCCUCUACAACCUUAGGCUUCAACUUAUGAAAAUCUGAUUCUGGAAGCUUUAUGGUUCCAGACUCUUUUAAGAAGAGUCAGGGAGCCAAGGGAUGUGUCUGUCUGCUACAUUUUGCAAUGAGCUUUUUACUUGGGAAUAAAACCUGCAAGAUGCUGAGUGCUGCUGUUUGCUUUAACAAGAAUCCCUUUGAAGGCAUGGUAAAGUGGGAUACAAUUUUGUGAGAAUCCAAUAAUGAGAAUCAUGAGGAAAAGAAAAGGCCUUAAUUGACUCUGUCUUUAAGUUUUCUGGAGUCCUUUGUAUGGAUUUUCUAAUGCGUAGAAGGGCUUAACACACAUUUUUCCUCUGUCUGCACUCGGGGUGAAUAGGCCCUGCUGGUGUCAACUGCACAAGUAGCACAGACAUCACGUCUUUCAUCCUCAGAAGUUCUGCAGUUACUUGGCUUCAGACACAUGGAAGUUUUACCUGAGCAACGACAGGGAGAUAAGGCUCAUUAGCUAAUUAACUCUCACAACGCCCAGGUCACACCCCUUCCGCAGCCGGUUGGGCACAGGUGUGUUGGACAUGCAGAUGUGCACAAACAUGCCCUUUGUAGAACAGCAUCUCCCCUCUGUGCAGCGGCUGCUGUGCCUCAGCACGUGUUGUGCCGCUCAGUGAGGAUGAUUUGAAGAUACAUUUUUGUUACACAAUAUAGCCACCAUGCCCUGGGAUAUUUUAGGUCUCAUCUUGGUGAAAUUCCCUACCUGUGUAUACCUAGGUGUUCCAGAUGCUAAUUAUCCUACAGCAAUCUGACACCUGUGCUACCUCACAGCUGUAUUUGUGAUGCAUAAAAAGGUGCUUUUAGUAUGUAAUGUAUGAUCAUCAAGUUUUAAAAACAUUUAAUUGACGGGGAAAAUUGGAACAAGAAGGGACAAAGCUCCCCUUGCAGGUUUGAAGCCCACAGAAAGCAAUGCUCUAUGCUCCCUCUGCUGGCACUGGGGCAGCCAGUCCUUUCUCUCCUAGAUAGACACUAUUUCAGCACGAAGAAACUUACACAUUUAGUGGCACUACUUUUGUUAAGUGUAAUAAAUAAUAAGCCAUUUAAGAUCUUUUCCCCCUCAUUCUGUUUUUCAGAAACAAGGGUUUGAGAAAGAAACAGAAAGCAUAGCUAGGCUGCAUGAUUCUGCAUUUAUACUUAUGUCUAGCCUGAAUACACUGCUUCUUGUUACAUAAACU
This is a long non-coding RNA of Passer domesticus (house sparrow), 3027 nucleotides long. RefSeq lists it as uncharacterized. Lineage: Eukaryota; Metazoa; Chordata; Aves; Passeriformes; Passeridae. The record is from RefSeq and is a predicted model, not a curated record. The transcript has 4 exons.